Molecule: long non-coding RNA, 511 nt
Organism: Poeciliopsis prolifica (blackstripe livebearer)
Lineage: Eukaryota; Metazoa; Chordata; Actinopteri; Cyprinodontiformes; Poeciliidae
Exons: 4
Source: RefSeq, a predicted model, not a curated record
UUUUUUUUUUACUAGAUAGCGAUCCUAAAAACUACAUUCCUUUAAAAUAUGAACAAAUACGUUCAAUUCCUUAAUUAUUUGAUUCAUGGGUGAUACAAGUUUGGUCAUUUGGAAUGCAACUCAAGGACUGUGGCUUCUUAAUUUUUUUACACUUUGUUCCACUACUUAUAGUCAAUGUUUUAAAAAAAAAUAAAAAACCCAGUACAGAGUUUUGAAGCGAUGGAGGAAAUUUACGUCAAUAUGGAACCUGUUGGACAAAGUGCAUCUCAUCCCACAGGUUUCUGUUCAGGUAGCAGCAGCAGCUCCAAAGAGAGGCUCUGCCUCGGUGUGGCCGUAUCUUUGGGAAUCCUGAACGUUUUCCUUUUGACCGAACUCAUCGCCCUCAGUGUACACACUCAUGACAUGACAUGACAGCAGAUUUUUCUGACAUCAGCAACAUUCUGACUGAGCAGAACAGCAACAAGUUUCCCUCCGUGAACGCUAACUUCACUGAUAACUUCACUGAUAACUU